GACGAACGCUGGCGGCGUGCCUAAUACAUGCAAGUUGAGCGCUGAAGGUUGGUACUUGUACCAACUGGAUGAGCAGCGAACGGGUGAGUAACGCGUGGGGAAUCUGCCUUUGAGCGGGGGACAACAUUUGGAAACGAAUGCUAAUACCGCAUAAAAACUUUAAACACAAGUUUUAAGUUUGAAAGAUGCAAUUGCAUCACUCAAAGAUGAUCCCGCGUUGUAUUAGCUAGUUGGUGAGGUAAAGGCUCACCAAGGCGAUGAUACAUAGCCGACCUGAGAGGGUGAUCGGCCACAGUGGGACUGAGACACGGCCCAAACUCCUACGGGAGGCAGCAGUAGGGAAUCUUCGGCCAUGGACGAAAGUCUGACCGAGCAACGCCGCGUGAGUGAAGAAGGUUUUCGGAUCGUAAAACUCUGUUGGUAGAGAAGAACGUUGGUGAGAGUGGAAAGCUCAUCAAGUGACGGUAACUACCCAGAAAGGGACGGCUAACUACGUG
This 497-nucleotide ribosomal RNA is filed under the name uncultured bacterium. RNAcentral describes it as "partial 16S ribosomal RNA". It matches the Rfam family "Bacterial small subunit ribosomal RNA", at positions 28 to 507 of the family's 1533-position model. The record is from RNAcentral.